AGCGAAGGCUAACGAGUUUCAGGUGUGCGGUGUUUGGUCAGGUGUGCGGUACUGAGCGCUGGAAUACCUGUGGGAGGUGUUUGGUCAGGUGUGCGGUACUGAGCGCUGGAAUACCUGUGGGAGGUGUUAGGUCAGGUGUGCAGUACUGAGCGCUGGAACACCUGUGGGAGGUGUUUGGUCAGGUGUGCGGUACUGAGCGCUGGAAUACCUAUAGUAGGUGUUUGGUCAAGUGUGCGGUACUGAGCGCUGGAACACCUAUAGGAGGUGUUUGGUCAGGUGUGCGGUACUGAGCGCUGGAAUACUUGUGGAAGGUGUUUGGUCAAGUGUGCGGUACUAAGCACUGGAACACCUGUGGGAGGUGUUUGGUCAGGUGUGCGGUACUGAGCGCUGGAACACCUGUAG
Molecule: long non-coding RNA, 402 nt
Organism: Astyanax mexicanus (Mexican tetra)
Lineage: Eukaryota; Metazoa; Chordata; Actinopteri; Characiformes; Acestrorhamphidae
Exons: 5
Source: RefSeq, a predicted model, not a curated record